RNAcentral lists this long non-coding RNA (653 nucleotides) under Marmota monax (woodchuck). The record is from RNAcentral. Lineage: Eukaryota; Metazoa; Chordata; Mammalia; Rodentia; Sciuridae.
CUGACAUUAAAAUAUUCACAUACCAUAACCAACUUUUAAAACUAUGUACUUCAGAUAUACUUAAGUGAUUUUUAGUAUAUUCACAGAGUUUUACAAUCAUCACUACCUUUUCUGAAAUUCAUUAAUCCUCCUCCCCCCCCCAAAAAAAAAAAAUCCCAGGACAUCAGCAAAAAAAGACCCAUGAACAUUCUUUUCUUCAUAAAACAAUGAGAAAACUGGCAAAUAAAGGCAUAAUUAAUUCUUUCAGAUCUCUAGAAAUUAUCCCAAGUUCUGCAGCUAUGGGGUUAUUCAUUCAACAAACAGCUGAAUUUUAGAAAUAAUAGUGAAUUUUUUUGUCCUUUAAUUGGCUCUAUUGCCAUGGCUCUCCUUUCCAGUUAUGCAAUAGCUUUUGAAACCUGCAACCUAGUGAAAAUCAGGGGCCUAGCAGCCAUUGAAGGAGGUAGAAGGGGGUUGAAGCUCCUUCAAAGAUUCAUUCCCAGAGAAUUAUCAUUUAUUAACAUGCCUAGCAAUCGCUUAUCUACUUUUUGUCUCAAUAGAUUUGAAUAUUUUGGACACUGCCUAUAAAUAGAAUUAUAAAAUAUAUGGCCUUUUGUAUGAUAUAGCAUAAUAUUUCCAAGGUCCAUUUAUAUUAUGUUAUCUAUUGGUACUUCAUU